UGGGGAAUUUUGCACAAUGGGGGAAACCCUGAUGCAGCGACGCCGCGUGAUUUAGAAGGCCUUCGGGUUGUAAAAAUCUUUUGUAUAGGAAGAAAAUGACAGUACUAUACGAAUAAGGACCGGCUAAUUACGUGCCAGCAGCCGCGGUAAUACGUAAGGUCCGAGCGUUGUCCGGAAUCAUUGGGCGUAAAGGGUACGUAGGCGGGUAAGCAAGUUAGAAGUGAAAUCCUAUAGCUCAACUAUAGUAAGCUUUUAAAACUGCUCAUCUUGAGGUAUGGAAGGGAAAGUGGAAUUCCUAGUGUAGCGGUGAAAUGCGCAGAUAUUAGGAGGAAUACCGGUGGCGAAGGCGACUUUCUGGCCAUAAUCUGACGCUGAGGUACGAAAGCGUGGGUAGCAAACAGG
RNAcentral lists this ribosomal RNA (402 nucleotides) under Bacteroidota bacterium. RNAcentral describes it as "Bacteroidetes bacterium partial 16S ribosomal RNA". It matches the Rfam family "Bacterial small subunit ribosomal RNA", at positions 355 to 776 of the family's 1533-position model. The record is from RNAcentral. Lineage: Bacteria; Pseudomonadati; Bacteroidota.